Molecule: long non-coding RNA, 607 nt
Filed under: Mustela putorius furo (domestic ferret)
Lineage: Eukaryota; Metazoa; Chordata; Mammalia; Carnivora; Mustelidae
Description: lncRNA (ENSMPUG00000030742.1)
Source: RNAcentral
AUGGGCUCAUCAGUGUUACACCCCAAGGAGGAAGUCGGCUUGGGAGAGAACACCAAGGGUGUGGCCAAGUGUUGGACAACGAGAUUAGAGAUUUAGUAUGAAGGUGACCGCAGCCCGAGAGCCGGGAGUAGAGAUGGGAGAUGGGCCGUGGAAACACUACCAGCUGCAAUGGAAGGAAACAGAGAACAGGAGGACAAAGGGGUUCCUCUGCAGACUUUGCCCCAGGGACUGCUUCGUGUUUUUGAAAGUUGAGGGCCUCCACGGAUUGUUCAGUUCCAAGCCAGCUCACAGCCAGCCUCCUCCGACUCCAUUUGCCAUGUAGGUCUUCCUGCCAGCCUCGGCCUCCAGUGGCAGCAUCUGCUCCCCGUUUGGUAGGACUCCCUGUAUCCCCUUGUCCCUGGUUUAGCUGUUGUUGUCUGUCUGUCUGUCUGUCUGUUCAUGUUUGCAUAGCACUUUGCCUUCUAGCCACUGGUGGAUCUAACAAGAUUUGUUGUUUUCCAACAACAAAUGUUUUUUGAAUGUUUUUCUUGUUGUGAGAAUGACAGUGAUGUCUCCAAGCUCACGCUGGAGCCGGACAGUUCCACUCCCUGAAGUACUAAGGUAAACC